Molecule: transfer RNA, 89 nt
Filed under: Amphiplicatus metriothermophilus
Lineage: Bacteria; Pseudomonadati; Pseudomonadota; Alphaproteobacteria; Parvularculales; Parvularculaceae
Description: tRNA-OTHER
Source: RNAcentral
GCGAGUCCUCUGUAAGCCGCAGAAACUGUGGCUUUCAGCGAGCCCUGUCACGGCUGAGGUCGCGGGUUCAAGUCCCGUCGCUCGCGCCA